CUACUAAUCCGGUAAUCCCAAAUCUACUUAAGUAUUUAUGUAAGAUUCAAUGUUUUUUUUCUUCUUAUAAUCUGAAGAUUCCAAAAUUAAAAUAAUUUUUGAACUUAAUUUUAGGAUCACAAAAGAAAAGGAGUGGGGAGGGUGUGCAAAUAAAAAAAAGUGCUAGAUGGAAUGUGACACAAAUCUAGAUAAGGAUGAUGAGUCAUUGAAGUGGGACCUAUAAAAUAAAGUAUUCUAGCCUCGAGCUUCGUGAAAUUAUCACAAGGAGGCACAUUUUGGGGAUCGAAGUUAUAUUUACAUUCUCCAAGAAUGGGCAAAACUUGAGGUUACUUGCAUCAAGAUCAGAGCAACAAGCAUGGGAAGAUGUCUCCAUACGGACAGCCUUACUGGGACCAAAAGUGAAAAGAGAUCGGAGUGCGAGCGACACGUGGGCCGUCAGAUCCAACCAUAACAUGUCUCUUUUACCUUUUACCCACAGAUUAAAAAGAGUAUUUAUUUUUAUUUUUAUCUCAUGAUCAAACAGAAUCUUAUAUAGAAGACUACUAAGAAAAGAGAGUAAUAU
This is an RNA transcript of Arabidopsis thaliana (thale cress), 562 nucleotides long. RefSeq lists it as uncharacterized. The record is from RefSeq. Lineage: Eukaryota; Viridiplantae; Streptophyta; Magnoliopsida; Brassicales; Brassicaceae. The transcript is spliced from 3 exons.